RNAcentral lists this ribosomal RNA (335 nucleotides) under uncultured bacterium. RNAcentral's name for it is "bacterial SSU rRNA". It matches the Rfam family "Bacterial small subunit ribosomal RNA", at positions 28 to 346 of the family's 1533-position model. The record is from RNAcentral.
GAUGAACGCUGGCGGCGUGCUUAACACAUGCAAGUCGAACGGGAAACAUUUUAUUGAAGCUUCGGCAGAUUUAGUUUGUUUCUAGUGGCGGACGGGUGAGUAACGCGUGGGUAACCUGCCUCACACUGGGGGAUAACAGUCAGAAAUGACUGCUAAUACCGCAUAAGCGCACGGAACCGCAUGGUUUUGUGUGAAAAACUCCGGUGGUGUGAGAUGGACCCGCGUUGGAUUAGCCAGUUGGCAGGGUAACGGCCUACCAAAGCGACGAUCCAUAGCCGGCCUGAGAGGGUGAACGGCCACAUUGGGACUGAGACACGGCCCAGACUCCUACGGGA